CGCCGUGAGGGCGUGCGACCGACGCUCUCCGCGACAGUGAUGACGCACACGUCGACGCCGCGCGAACCUCGCCCCGGCGCGGGCGGCCGUCCCUCAUACGGAACCGAUGCCCUAGUGUCUGAUCACGUGACCCACACUGACGCCGCCUGAACCGUUACCGACAGUCUGUUCCGCACUCCCGAAGAUGCCACAAGGUCGAAACAUCUCGGGAUAUAUUUCCACUGUCUCACCGCUCAACCCUCAAGCACUCGCCAAUAGGGGAAGUUUCGUCCACGUGAAGUGAUUCUGUGAUUCCUCCGAUAGUAGUUCCGUUAUACCGUCCCACAACAGUGUGUACAAAACCCUUGCCCCCACCUGUGUAUUUCUCUCCGCAAGAAACAACACCCGCCAACGACGACAGUGACGUGUGUCUCCAGGAUUGCUCAACAAAUUCCUAAGCAGCUGCUCCGAGGACGACACCGGUUCUUCGUGGGCCCGCGAACCGCGUGGCGGGCAGAAAAACGGGACCUGCGUCAUCGGUGGACCGGUGACGUCAUUCAGCAGACCUGACGUCACAGCCGGAGCGCUGCGCAGAGGGCAGCAGCGUCGGCGCGAGCAGGGAACACCAUGAGUAUCUGAGAACGCCUCUCACAUAAAAACGACCAACUCAACGUUCUCCUUGCAGUUCUGAUACAAAGGGCUUUAAUCAGACCUCAUAGACAACUGCCCGGACAUGACUCAUUCCUUCCUGAAGACUACGCAUGCUGAUCUGUGGCUUUGCACGGAACACGCCAGCAGGAUAAUUCCUGAAUACUUCUGAUGCCGCACACUAAAGAGGAAGCUGCUGGAACAAUUAAUUACAAACACAGGAGGCGCAACCCGCGGCCGCUACGGCGUCGCACAGUGCAGCGCCGAGCCCUGCCGGCGCGGACAGAUGGAGGCGGAUAAGCGGGCUGCUUUGGAAGGCGGCCACGUCUGGCGCGGCGACCCGAGCUGAAUGGCGGACGAGACGGCGGGGCGCGGCCGGCCGGCCGGACAGCCGCCGGGCCUGCCUGCCUCUCUGUCUGUCUGUCUGCCCGCGAGCCGCGGCCGCAGAUAACUCGCACACGUCCCGUCCACGCAGGCCGCGUUACAUCUCUCUCUCCACUGGCCGAAACACUCGUUAUGCAUACGACGUGUCAUGCGUGUGUUGCAUAAUUGGCUGGUGAUAAAAGUCGAAAGUCUCAAGUUAUCACUUUAUGUACGUAUGAUGUUCAACCAGUGGUUUUUUUGAAUCUGAUACGGUUUACUGUGCCAAUCACUAGUAACUGUACGCUACAGUUCAUUGUAUCCCCUAAUUAAAGUAUUUGUUCUUGGUUAAACACAUUUACACUGAAGAACCAAAGAAAUUGGUUGUUGUUGUUGUUGGUCCCGAGUUCGAACCACAGUCAAAGACACAAUUUUAGUCUGCCAGGAAAUUUCAUUCACUUUGGUUGGUCAUGGACACGUCCAACAACGAUAUCUCUUUUCUGCCAUUCUCUUACGUCUCGAUGUGGACUCAUCUCGAUGCACUGAUUCGAUACAGCGAACUGGUACAUACACAGCACUUUGCUGCCAUGACAUAUGUGUAGAGUUCCAAGGCGCCUACUGUGCUGUUUCAAGGUGGUAACUAAUGUUUUGUCCGUCCAUCUUAGAUAUCCCACAGUACUGGAAGAAUGCAUUUGCCUAUGAAAUAGAUUCAGCCUGCGUUACUAUUACUUUCAUCAAAUUAUGAGGGUCACAUAACAGUCGUUGUUGUUGUUGUGGUCUUCAGUCCUGAGACUGGUUUGAUGCAGCUCUCCAUGCUACUCUAUCCUGUGCAAGCUUCUUCAUCUCCCAGUACCCACUGCAACCUACAUCCGUCUGAAUCUGCUUAGUGUAUUCACCUCUUGGUCUCCCUCUACGAUUUUUACCCUCCACGCUCCCCUUCAAUGCUAUAUUGGUGAACCAUUGAUGCCUCAGAACAUGUCCUGCCAACCGAUCCCUUCUUCUAGUCAAGUUGUGCCACAAACUCCUCUUCUCUCCAAUUCUAUUCAAUACCUCCUCAUUACUUAUGUGGUCUACCCAUCUUGUCCUCGGCAUUCUUCUGUAGCGCCACAUUUCGAAAGCUUCUAUUCUCUUCUUGUCUACACUAUUUAUUGUCCAUGUUUCACUGCACUACACUCCACACAAAUACUUCCAGAGAUGAAACUGGUAUACUUGCCUAAUAUCGUGCAGCGCCACCGCCAGCACGCCGAAGUGCCGCAACACGACGUGGCAUGGACUCAGCUAAUGUCUGAAGUAGUGCUGGACAGAAAUAGCACCAUGAAUCCGGCAAGGCUGUCCGUAAAUCUGUAAGAGUGCGAGUAGGUGGAUAUCUCUUCUGAGUAACACGUUGCAAGGCAUCUCAGAUAUGCUCAAUAAUGUUCAUGUUUGGGAAGUUUGGUGACCACUGGAAGUGAUUAAACUCAGAAGUGUGUUACUCGAGAAACUCUGCAGCAAUUCUGAACGUGUGGGAUGUCGCAUGGUCCUGUUUGAAUUGCACAACUACGUCGGAAUGCACAAUGGACAUGAAUGGAUGCUGGUGAUCACAUUGCAUGCUGACGUGUCACCUGUGAGAUUCCUGUCUUGACGUAUCAGGGGUCCCAUAUCACUCCAACUGCACGCGCGCCAUACCGUUACAGAGCCUCUACCAGCUUGAACACUCCCCUUCUGACACUCAGGUCCAUGCAGUCAUGAGUUUGACUCCAUACCCGUAUACGGCGAUCCGCUAGACACAAAUCGAAACGAGACUCGUCCGACGAGGCAACACAUUUCUAGUCAUGGACAAUCUAAUUUUGGUGUUGACGGCCCCAGGCGAGACGUAAACCUUUGUGUCGUGCAGUCAUAAAGAACACACGAGUGGAGUUUCGGCUCCGAAGGCCCAUAUCAAUUAUGUUUCGUUGAAUAGUUCGCACUCUGACACUGUUGAUUGCCCAGCACUCAAAUCUGCAGCAAUAUCAGCAAGGGUUGCACUUCUGUAACGUUGAACGAUUCUCUUCAUUCGCCGUUGGUCCCGUUCUUGCAGCAUCUUUUUCCUUCUUCAGCGAUGUCGGAGAUUUGAUGUUUUACCGGAUUCCUGAUAUUCACGGUACACUCAUGAAAUGGUCGUACGGGAAAAUCCAGACUUCAUCGCUACCUUGAAGAUGCUGUGUCCCAUCGCUAGUGCGCCGACUAUAACACCACUUUCAAACUCACUUAAAUCUUGAUAACUGGCCAUUGUAGCAACAGUAACUGAUCUAAUGACCACGUCAGACACUUGUGGUCUUAUAUAGGCGCUGCCGACCGCAGCGCCGUAUUCUGCCUCUUUACAUACCUCCGCAUUUAUAAACGCAUGCCUAUACCAGUUUCUUUGGCGAUUCAGUGCAUAUGACAGCAGUAGCAAUCGUACCGUUUGUUUUAGUUUCUAGGUAGCAACCCAGAGAUAUGACAUGAAAUUAAUAAAUACAAAAAUAAAUGGAGGAGGUGAAUGUAUCAAUCUAUGGUGCGGGACCCUGAUCCGGAAACGACGGAAUCCGACGCGAGAAUCGUUCCGGUACCUAUGACAUUCGAUCACUUCUAGUGGAAACCGUUUCCCUUCCAUGCUUUGGUAGAAGGUGGUAUGGAACAAAAGAAGAAAAAGUUGUUUAGUAAACAUCGGCUCUGAAAUGAAUCCAUUGAGAGCUAUGAUCAAGUGUUCAGUACACGAUAUGUUUUUAGUCACGGCGAGAAUAAACUAGUUCUCAUACCUCUUAAGGUAAGCGUUUUAGAAGUCAUAUUUACCGGAUAUAUUUUUCUUGUUUUGGUCCAUACUGUCUCCUCCCAAAACACAACAAAGAACUUCAGGUUGAAGGUUUUUUGUGUCAGAAGUAUAGCAACGAUUUUCAACUGUCGACUCGUCAUUUCUGGACCAGUCCCUUACCUCAGGCCGGUCGUCGUGGUCGUGUGGUUCUAGGGGCUUCAGUCCGGAACCGCGAGACUGCUACGGUUGCAGAUUCGACUCCUGCCUCGAGCAUGGAUGUGUGUGAUGUCCUUGGGUUAGUUAGGUAUACGUAGUUCUAAGUUCUAGGGGACUGAUGACCUCAGAUGUUCAGUCCCAUAGUUCUCAGAGCCAUUUUGAACCUUACCUCAGAUUGAUAUAUUUGCACUUCUCCAUAAUUCCUGUAAGUCUGUAACAGCAUCAUCGCCAUGUCUUCUGUCCGAAGACUGGUUUCAUGCGGCUCUACAUGCAACUCUAUCCUUUGCAAACUUCCUCAUCUCAUAGUAAGUACUGCAGUGUACGUUCAUCUGAAUCUGCUUACCGCAUUCAUCUCUUGAUCUCCCUCUACGAUUUUU
Molecule: long non-coding RNA, 4329 nt
Organism: Schistocerca gregaria
Lineage: Eukaryota; Metazoa; Arthropoda; Insecta; Orthoptera; Acrididae
Exons: 4
Source: RefSeq, a predicted model, not a curated record